This 520-nucleotide unclassified non-coding RNA is filed under the name uncultured Glomus. RNAcentral's name for it is "SSU rRNA". It matches the Rfam family "Eukaryotic small subunit ribosomal RNA", at positions 569 to 1091 of the family's 1831-position model. Lineage: Eukaryota; Fungi; Glomeromycota; Glomeromycetes; Glomerales; Glomeraceae. The record is from RNAcentral.
AGCAGCCGCGGUAAUUCCAGCUCCGAUAGCGUAUAUUAAAGUUGCUGCAGUUAAAAAGCUCGUAGUUGAAUUUCGGGACCAUCAUGUUGGUCGUGCCUCGGUACGUACUGGCAUUGUUGGUUUCUCCCUUCUGACGAACCAUGAUGUCAUUUAUUUGGUGUCGUGGGAAAUCAGGACUGUUACUUUGAAAAAAUUAGAGUGUUUAAAGCAGGCUCACGCUUGAAUACAUUAGCAUGGAAUAAUGAAAUAGGACGUUUGAUUCUAUUUUGUUGGUUUCUAGGAUCGACGUAAUGAUUAAUAGGGAUAGUUGGGGGCAUUAGUAUUCAAUUGUCAGAGGUGAAAUUCUUGGAUUUAUUGAAGACUAACUACUGCGAAAGCAUUUGCCAAGGAUGUUUUCAUUAAUCAAGAACGAAAGUUAGGGGAUCGAAGACGAUCAGAUACCGUCGUAGUCUUAACCAUAAACUAUGCCGACUAGGGAUCGGAUGAUGUUAAUUUUUUAAUGACUCAUUCGGCGCCUUAC